This 253-nucleotide ribosomal RNA is filed under the name uncultured bacterium. RNAcentral describes it as "partial 16S ribosomal RNA". It matches the Rfam family "Bacterial small subunit ribosomal RNA", at positions 524 to 776 of the family's 1533-position model. The record is from RNAcentral.
UACGGAGGGCGCGAGCGUUACCCGGAUUUACUGGGCGUAAAGGGCGUGGAGGCGGCUUGGGGCGUCCCUUGUGACAGGCCUCGGCUCAACCGUGGAGGAGCGUGGGAUAAGCUCAGGCUAGACGGUGGGAGAGGGUGGUGGAAUUCCCGGAGUAGCGGUGAAAUGCGCAGAUACCGGGAGGAACGCCGAUGGCGAAGGCAGCCACCUGGUCCACAUGUGGCGCUGAGGCGCGAAAGCGUGGGGAGCAAACCGG